GGGGAAUCUUCCGCAAUGGACGAAAGUCUGACGGAGCAACGCCGCGUGAGUGAUGACGGCCUUCGGGUUGUAAAGCUCUGUUAAUCGGGACGAAAGGCUUUCUUGCGAAUAGUUAGAAGGAUUGACGGUACCGGAAUAGAAAGCCACGGCUAACUACGUGCCAGCAGCCGCGGUAAUACGUAGGUGGCAAGCGUUGUCCGGAAUUAUUGGGCGUAAAGCGCGCGCAGGCGGAUUGGUCAGUCUGUCUUAAAAGUUCGGGGCUUAACCCCGUGAUGGGAUGGAAACUGCUGAUCUAGAGUAUCGGAGAGGAAAGUGGAAUUCCUAGUGUAACGGUGAAAUGCGUAGAUAUUAGGAAGAACACCAGUGGCGAAGGCGACUUUCUGGACGAAAACUGACGCUGAGGCGCGAAAGCCAGGGGAGUGAACGGGAUUAGAUACCCCGGUAGUCCUGGCCGUAAACGAUGGGUACUAGGUGUAGGAGGUAUCGACCCCUUCUGUGCCGGAGUUAACGCAAUAAGUACCCCGCCUGGGGAGUACGACCGCAAGGUUG
RNAcentral lists this ribosomal RNA (549 nucleotides) under uncultured bacterium. RNAcentral describes it as "bacterial SSU rRNA". It matches the Rfam family "Bacterial small subunit ribosomal RNA", at positions 356 to 896 of the family's 1533-position model. The record is from RNAcentral.